GACGAACGCUGGCGGCGUGCCUAAUACAUGCAAGUAGAACGCUGAAGGAGGAGCUUGCUUCUCCGGAUGAGUUGCGAACGGGUGAGUAACGCGUAGGUAACCUGCCUGGUAGCGGGGGAUAACUAUUGGAAACGAUAGCUAAUACCGCAUAAGAGUAGAUGUCGCAUGACAUUUGCUUAAAAGGUGCAACUGCACCACUACCAGAUGGACCUGCGUUGUAUUAGCUAGUUGGUGAGGUAACGGCUCACCAAGGCAACGAUACAUAGCCGACCUGAGAGGGUGAUCGGCCACACUGGGACUGAGACACGGCCCAGACUCCUACGGGAGGCAGCAGUAGGGAAUCUUCGGCAAUGGACGGAAGUCUGACCGAGCAACGCCGCGUGAGUGAAGAAGGGUUUCGGAUCGUAAAGCUCGGUUGUAAGAGAAGAACGAGUGUGAGAGUGGAAAGUUCACACUGUGACGGUAUCUUACCAGAAAGGGACGGCUAACUACGUG
RNAcentral lists this ribosomal RNA (495 nucleotides) under uncultured bacterium. Its description in RNAcentral is "partial 16S ribosomal RNA". It matches the Rfam family "Bacterial small subunit ribosomal RNA", at positions 28 to 507 of the family's 1533-position model. The record is from RNAcentral.